Long non-coding RNA from Aquila chrysaetos chrysaetos, 927 nucleotides. RefSeq lists it as uncharacterized. The transcript is spliced from 3 exons. NCBI's taxonomy places the organism in Eukaryota, Metazoa, Chordata, Aves, Accipitriformes, Accipitridae. The record is from RefSeq and is a predicted model, not a curated record.
AGAAAGAAAAGACAGAAAGACUGGUACAAUCAUUUUAAAGGUUUUCUGCUUUUCUGUUCAUGUUCUUUUCAGGAAAUGAGACUGACUAUAUAUGGGAUGGGAAUAAAACCACAUAUCACAAGCCACUGUCGAGUUCAUAAAGUGACUGCAUUGAAAAAGUAGUGAAAAAUGUGUUCUUACUAGUGCCUUCCUAGCCCAUAGGAAUCCUGGCUGUGGCUUGCAAUUGUAGUAGGGUGAAGAUUUGCAUUUUCAAGUUGGCGGUUUUCCUUUUUACUCUUCCACUUCCUACAAGCUAAUUUGGUGCUGUGUUAAUUGUGAAUCUGGAAUGCAAAUCAACUCACCUGCUUGUUUUUCUUUCAUUUUCAGGUUUUCUAACUAUGGAAGCUGUCCUGAGGAGCUGCAUCACGCGCUGCUGCCCCCAGGAUGGGAUGCAGAGGACAGCUGAUAUUUCCUGUUAGAGAUGCUUUGUAUGCAAAUCAAGGUGGUACAACAAAAAAAAGUCCUGAAAGCAAUCACACUGAUAAACUCAGACCACCGGGGAAUUCCUGCCUAUCAUUUUUUAUCUUUUCUUUUUUUCAGUUCUGUACAAGAUACUGCUCUUUCUUACAGUCUUUCAUGUUUGUCCUGCCAAACCUUUUGCUUAUGAACUACAGCGCUUCUUGCAUUUUGCAGGGCUCCGUGUCAGUCUGCAUGAAUAAAAGGCAGAAUGGAUGAUGCCUAAUGCCAGCCCUGAUUUAACAAACAUCUGAGGACCAGCUCAUCCCUGCAGCAUAGCCAACAACUGUCUCUUCUCUGUUCCCUGUGGGAAUUGUGCACCAUGGGAUCCUGCAACGAGGUGAAGAUGGAAGGAAGGCUCGUAAGGCAGCAUAUGUGCUCUUGUUAGUGGCCAGAUACUCCAUCUGCAAGCCACCAAACCUGGGGCUGCAG